GUAGGGAAUCAUCCGCAAUGGACGAAAGUCUGACGGUGCAACGCCGCGUGAGUGAAGAAGGGUUUCGGCUCGUAAAACUCUGUUGUUAAGGAAGAAUGUCGGUGAGAGUCACUGCUCACCGAGUGACGGUACUUAACCAGAAAGCCACGGCUAACUACGUGCCAGCAGCCGCGGUAAUACGUAGGUGGCAAGCGUUAUCCGGAAUUAUUGGGCGUAAAGCGCGCGUAGGCGGUUUCUUAAGUCUGAUGUGAAAGCCCCCGGCUCAACCGGGGAGGGUCAUUGAAAACUGGGGAACUUGAGUGCAGAAGAGGAGAGUGGAAUUCCAUGUGUAGCGGUGAAAUGCGCAGAGAUAUGGAGGAACACCAGUGGCGAAGGCGGCUCUCUGGUCUGUAACUGACGCUGAUGUGCGAAAGCGUGGGGAUCAA
RNAcentral lists this ribosomal RNA (425 nucleotides) under uncultured Salinicoccus sp. Its description in RNAcentral is "bacterial SSU rRNA". It matches the Rfam family "Bacterial small subunit ribosomal RNA", at positions 354 to 771 of the family's 1533-position model. The record is from RNAcentral. Lineage: Bacteria; Bacillati; Bacillota; Bacilli; Caryophanales; Staphylococcaceae.